Lathyrus oleraceus (garden pea) is the source of this 2563-nucleotide long non-coding RNA. RefSeq lists it as uncharacterized. The transcript has 7 exons. The record is from RefSeq and is a predicted model, not a curated record. Lineage: Eukaryota; Viridiplantae; Streptophyta; Magnoliopsida; Fabales; Fabaceae.
UAGCAUGUUCAGGGUGAUGCAAAAAUCCUUUCGGAUAAGGCCCGACCCCAAUCCAAUUAAUCCUAGAACUAAAAAAAAGAAAAGAAAUGUGAGGAUAGUAGCAGACCCCCCUCGUGGCGGCUUCCUACUGUUUUCCAAAAUGUUCUGGCUAGUCAUAACAAUAAGUGCUACCUACAGUCUUUUAAGAUGGCUAGCGAAUCGAUGAAAAUAAAAGCUCUUAAAAAAUGGAUACAUGUUAAACUAGUACAGUGAGUUAUUACCCAAUGGAAUUUUGACCAAACCAUUAUCCCUACGAUGAAUGCAAUACCAUUAAAUAUGCAUAAAACCCAUAAACCAAAAUAAAUUCAAAUGAUUAUUCGUGAAUGCUCAUAUAUCCCUUAUUCUGCCGAACUCUCCUUCCGAAAACAAAAUUAAAACACCAUAAAAGCCUGCAUAAUACCCUAAUCACUUCUCAAGAACACUUGAAAGUUCUUGAGCGAUUUUCCAGAAAUUUAACAAACCAACAUGACUUCUAAGAUCUCAAACAUCAAUCCUACCCCAAAUCGAAUUCCAGACGUGAUGCUAACUUUAAAUGAACAACAAUUAGAAGGAUCGGAGUCCUUAGAGGCGAAACAAAUUCCGCCUUUUAAAACCGAACUCCAGAUUUUCGUUCUCAGCACCUUCAAAGUCGGAAUCAAACCUCACAUGGUUUGCAACAAACACAAUUCAUCCAACAAAUGAAAAAAAUAAAUCAACAGUUAUCGCCAUACAUCAAAACAGAAUCAAAAUGCCCUAAGAGUCAUGGAUCUAUACAAAGGCAAAGCGCAUAAACCAAUCGGAUCUGCAGUGUAUAAGGUAUGCCUUAUCAUUUUCCCUUGCUCUGCUUUCUUCUUGUCCUAAUCUCUGCUUCUUCUUCUUGUGCGAUUUUCUUUCGUUUUGUCGGGGUUGCUAUCCAGGUAGUGGUUUUUAGCUCAAACUUGUUGAGAUUCAGUGUGAAAUCUCAACAGGCUUAGAAAUUUUAGAGCUCUAAUAAGUGUUUUGGAUUUGUUUUCCGCAGAGUAACGACGCUCUAGGAAGGAGUCCCUGCUUCAGUCAUCAAAUGGUUCUUAUAUAGAGUUCUUGUACGAGGUUCAUCUGUCCUUAUCCUUCAUGAGCUGGCAAAUCUUGGAUAGGAUCAAUCCGUUAGAAUAAAAUCUCCUUUAGAUUUUUGGUGUGGUCCCGUACAGAUCUGCUUGUAGUGAAAUAUGCCACUAUUUCGUAUAGAAUUUUACUGUUGUGGAACACCUAUGUAUUGUGUUUGGUUGCAGUGGGUUCUGGCUGCUGCGAAUUGAUGACGUAUUGCAACAUGAUGCGCCCUGGUGUACACUUCUGAUAUCGCGACUUGUUUUGGAUCUUGUUUUGGAUCGUUACGGUUCAAUCAUCACCUGACAGGCUUAGCCAAUGCUUGGAACGACAACAUGAAAACAAAUGAUCUAGGACUUUGGUCCUUAUGCAAUGCCUUGAUUGGAGCAGCUUGUGCUACUCGCAUUUAUUCAGAUUAACACGAUCAUCCGCAUGAUGCAAUCCUUCUUACGGCUUAUCAGAAAUCAGUGAAGCUGACUUUGAGAGAUGAACUGCGUACCGUGUACUUGGGAGUAUUGCCGACCACAAUGCGGUUCAUUAUCCGGGAAGCGCGAAAUUCUCCAGCAAUCAACAUCCACAAGUGUUUCACCAGACCACCAUUGAGAGCUAGCCCUGGCAUAGUAGCGAUCCAUCAGUAAUCGGGUUUACCAAGGGUAUCACUCUUUGUUCGUAUGUUCUACAUUGCUCGACAACGAACCCAUGUCUAAGCCCUUCUUUUUAAGCACAUCUGUGAGAUCAUACAUAAGGCUAUGUGCAUCCCUUAUCUCUGUCAAACUUAGUGUACGUAUGCUUGGAAGUACGUAGCCAACGGUUGUGUAUGCGAAGGAUCAAAUACAGCGGUCAACUAUUUGGAUCUUCCUUUUUCUGAGAAAACAUCGCCUUGGAACGCACCAGUUCCUGGUUUCACUUGUAAUACCAAACUUAUCGCCUCUUUGAAGUGUGUUGAAACGAAAGGUGUGCGGAGUUACCAUGGUUAAUGGGCAUGAUGCCUCAAACUCAUAUACCUUUCUUUUGUAACCCAAUCUGCACCUUGGUGUAAAUCGUGAGGUUACCGCUAUAAUCGUAGAUUAUGCCUUUAAUAAUGAAUUCCUUGGUUCAUUGGUAUCGGUUUGAUUAAUUGCAGAUUGAACUCGGAUGCAUCUUUCCGUCGUUGCGACAUCGUUACUUGUUGUUGGAAGCGUCGAGAAUGUUGCAGGUAGCGGCUUUGGUUUAUCUUAUUGGUAUGCCGCAGCUUGAAAUUUGGAUUUGAAUGGCAUGGACUCCCUGUUGGUUUACCUGGUUUACCGUGUUGCAAAUAAAACCUGGUUGUAAUUCCCCUUUGUCUUACUUGAAACAAACCUUUGGUCUUGGGUUAUGUAAAAUAAUUGUCUCUGUUAUGUAAACUGAACUGCCGUUUGGAUUGUAAUAUCUUUUAAUCAUUUUGAUCAAAGUGGACUGUGAUUCACGGUUUUUCUAGGCAUAA